RNAcentral lists this ribosomal RNA (497 nucleotides) under uncultured bacterium. RNAcentral describes it as "partial 16S ribosomal RNA". It matches the Rfam family "Bacterial small subunit ribosomal RNA", at positions 28 to 507 of the family's 1533-position model. The record is from RNAcentral.
GAUGAACGCUGGCGGCGUGCCUAAUACAUGCAAGUCGAGCGAACAGACGAGGAGCUUGCUCCUCUGACGUUAGCGGCGGACGGGUGAGUAACACGUGGAUAACCUACCUAUAAGACUGGGAUAACUUCGGGAAACCGGAGCUAAUACCGGAUAAUAUAUUGAACCGCAUGGUUCAAUAGUGAAAGACGGUUUUGCUGUCACUUAUAGAUGGAUCCGCGCCGCAUUAGCUAGUUGGUAAGGUAACGGCUUACCAAGGCAACGAUGCGUAGCCGACCUGAGAGGAUGAUCGGCCACACUGGAACUGAGACACGGUCCAGACUCCUACGGGAGGCAGCAGUAGGGAAUCUUCCGCAAUGGGCGAAAGCCUGACGGAGCAACGCCGCGUGAGUGAUGAAGGUCUUCGGAUCGUAAAACUCUUUUAUUAGGGAAGAACAAAUGUGUAAGUAACUAUGCACGUCUUGACGGUACCUAAUCAGAAAGCCACGGCUAACUACGUG